RNAcentral lists this ribosomal RNA (769 nucleotides) under uncultured bacterium. Its description in RNAcentral is "bacterial SSU rRNA". It matches the Rfam family "Bacterial small subunit ribosomal RNA", at positions 62 to 812 of the family's 1533-position model. The record is from RNAcentral.
UCGUGCGAGAAGGAGACUUCGGUCUCUGAGUAGAGCGGCGCACGGGUGAGUAACGCGUGGAUGAUCUACCCUUGAGUUCGGGAUAACGGUGCGAAAGCGCCGCUAAUACCGUAUAACAAUCCAUUUCAUCGUGGGUUCAAAGCAGGCCUCUUCAUGAAAGCUUGCGCUUGGGGAUGAGUCCGCGUCCCAUUAGCUUGUUGGCGGGGUAACGGCCCACCAAGGCUACGAUGGGUAGCUGGUCUGAGAGGAUGAUCAGCCACACUGGAACUGAAACACGGUCCAGACUCCUACGGGAGGCAGCAGUGGGGAAUAUUGCGCAAUGGGGGAAACCCUGACGCAGCGACGUCGUGUGAGGGAAGAAGGCCUUCGGGUCGUAAACCUCUGUCAGAAGGGAAGAACAUCCGGGAGUCGAACAGCCUCCCGGCCUGACGGUACCUUCAGAGGAAGCGCCGGCUAACUCCGUGCCAGCAGCCGCGGUAAUACGGAGGGCGCAAGCGUUAAUCGGAAUCACUGGGCGUAAAGCGUGCGUAGGCUGUUUGAUAAGUCAGACGUGAAAUCCCUCGGCUCAACCGGGGAACUGCGUUUGAUACUGUUGAACUAGAGUCCUGGAGAGGGUGGCGGAAUUCCUGGUGUAGGAGUGAAAUCCGUAGAUAUCAGGAGGAACACCGGUGGCGAAGGCGGCCACCUGGACAGGUACUGACGCUGAGGUAUGAAGGCGUGNGGAGCAAACAGGAUUAGAUACCCNGGUAGUCCACGCGGUAAACGAUGG